UUCUUCUCCCGCAUGCUUAGAAGCCUUUGGACCUCUUGCGCAAUGAGGAAACCCCAGGGUAACUGUGGGCAGUUGGCUGAGUAGAACCAGAAGCGUAAACAUAGUCUGGCAACUGUCAAACAAACUAAAACAAACAAAAAACAUAUUUAAAAAAAAAGGCCCCUAGCUCAGCACUUUGAGUUUCUGUCGAACUGAAUCACCAACCUGUUGUACUCAAAGCCUAGGCGCAAGAGCGCCCGGCGCGCGGUUUCGGUCGCCGGGACCCGACGCGCGCCCAGGAAGCAGCCCCUGAGAGCGCCUGGGACAAACGCCGUGCACAGUGACCCUGCCGAGGGCUGAUCGGGCACCUGUCGCCGCGGGCAACCCUCGCUAUGUGUUCGAAUCCAACCCAGUCCGCCGAGGUGGCCCCUUCCAGUACCCAGGGGAGUGCUUUCUACAUUGUUCGUGCUGAAUACAUUUUCAUGGAGUGGAAGCAAUUUAUUUUCAGGUAGGAAAAGUGCUUCAUUUCCCACUACUUUGGGGAGAGGCCAAUGGUCAAAUGCCUC
This 545-nucleotide long non-coding RNA is filed under the name Pan troglodytes (chimpanzee). RNAcentral's name for it is "long non-coding RNA NONPTRT003016". Lineage: Eukaryota; Metazoa; Chordata; Mammalia; Primates; Hominidae. The record is from RNAcentral.